RNAcentral lists this non-coding RNA (45 nucleotides) under Schistosoma mansoni. The record is from RNAcentral. Lineage: Eukaryota; Metazoa; Platyhelminthes; Trematoda; Strigeidida; Schistosomatidae.
AUCCAACUGACGAAUCGAAAGUAAGGCGAAACAUCCGUCUUGGAU